Molecule: long non-coding RNA, 680 nt
Organism: Alligator mississippiensis (American alligator)
Lineage: Eukaryota; Metazoa; Chordata; Crocodylia; Alligatoridae
Exons: 4
Source: RefSeq, a predicted model, not a curated record
CCUAGCUCCCUGAGGUGAGGGCAGUUUGUGAUCAGCCAGCAGAGAAGAAACACCUUUCUGCUGAGCUCUGCCAGGAACACCUUGGAGGUUCCUGGUGGGUCCAAUCCAGUUGGGAGACAUCAGGAGUCCACGGCUCUACUUCAGCGCAGCAUUCUCCCUGGCUGCAGCUCCACGCCCGCUGCUCCUCCAGCUCAGUGUGGCUUCAUGCUGGCUCCACUCAUCUUUCCCCACCAGGUCACAGUUUGAUAAACACUAUAAUGGACAAGCAAGCUGAAUGAAGUCAGAGCACAGCAUGAGGCAACAUGCAAUAUACUGCUCAAAGCUUCAAACCUGGACCACUACUGACCUGCCAACAUUUGAAUGCAAUCAAUCUGGAAAUUGCUGGAAAUUGGAAAUCAUCUGGAAAUAAAAACUGGGACGUAUUUUUUAACAUCACUGAAAAACAGUGAAUUGUAAAAGUUUCAUAUAGGGCAGACUGGAUAAAUUAUCAACACUUUGCUGAAGAAUAUCAACAGGGAAAACUAGGGUCUCAGCAUGUAAUAAUGACACAACUAGACUUACUGGAUUGCCUUUGUUGCCACCACAUUUCUGUUUAUUUGUUCAGAUUUAAAGGAAACCAUUAUCAAGAUUGCUGGGCACAAAGCUGAAAAUGCCCCAAUAAAAAUACUUAUAAAAACAUG